This 1346-nucleotide ribosomal RNA is filed under the name uncultured bacterium. RNAcentral describes it as "partial 16S ribosomal RNA". It matches the Rfam family "Bacterial small subunit ribosomal RNA", at positions 28 to 1381 of the family's 1533-position model. The record is from RNAcentral.
GACGAACGCUGGCGGCGUGCUUAACACAUGCAAGUCGAACGGAAAGGCCCUGCUUUUGUGGGGUGCUCGAGUGGCGAACGGGUGAGUAACACGUGAGUAACCUGCCCUUGACUUUGGGAUAACUUCAGGAAACUGGGGCUAAUACCGGAUAGGAGCUCCUGCUGCAUGGUGGGGGUUGGAAAGUUUCGGCGGUUGGGGAUGGACUCGCGGCUUAUCAGCUUGUUGGUGGGGUAGUGGCUUACCAAGGCUUUGACGGGUAGCCGGCCUGAGAGGGUGACCGGCCACAUUGGGACUGAGAUACGGCCCAGACUCCUACGGGAGGCAGCAGUGGGGAAUAUUGCACAAUGGGCGGAAGCCUGAUGCAGCAACGCCGCGUGCGGGAUGACGGCCUUCGGGUUGUAAACCGCUUUCGCCUGUGACGAAGCGUGAGUGACGGUAAUGGGUAAAGAAGCACCGGCUAACUACGUGCCAGCAGCCGCGGUGAUACGUAGGGUGCGAGCGUUGUCCGGAUUUAUUGGGCGUAAAGGGCUCGUAGGUGGUUGAUCGCGUCGGAAGUGUAAUCUUGGGGCUUAACCCUGAGCGUGCUUUCGAUACGGGUUGACUUGAGGAAGGUAGGGGAGAAUGGAAUUCCUGGUGGAGCGGUGGAAUGCGCAGAUAUCAGGAGGAACACCAGUGGCGAAGGCGGUUCUCUGGGCCUUUCCUGACGCUGAGGAGCGAAAGCGUGGGGAGCGAACAGGCUUAGGUACCCUGGUAGUCCACGCUGUAAACGGUGGGUACUAGGUGUGGGGUCCAUUCCACGGGUUCCGUGCCGUAGCUAACGCUUUAAGUACCCCGCCUGGGGAGUACGGCCGCAAGGCUAAAACUCAAAGGAAUUGACGGGGCCCCGCACAAGCGGCGGAGCAUGCGGAUUAAUUCGAUGCAACGCGUAGAACCUUACCUGGGUUUGACAUGGAUCGGGAGUGCUCAGAGAUGGGUGUGCCUCUUUUGGGGUCGGUUCACAGGUGGUGCAUGGCUGUCGUCAGCUCGUGUCGUGAGAUGUUGGGUUAAGUCCCGCAACGAGCGCAACCCUUGUUCACUGUUGCCAGCACGUUAUGGUGGGGACUCAGUGGAGACCGCCGGGGUCAACUCGGAGGAAGGUGGGGAUGACGUCAAGUCAUCAUGCCCCUUAUGUCCAGGGCUUCACGCAUGCUACAAUGGCUGGUACAGAGAGUGGCGAGCCUGUGAGGGUGAGCGAAUCUCGGAAAGUCGGUCUCAGUUCGGAUUGGGGUCUGCAACUCGACCUCAUGAAGUCGGAGUCGCUAGUAAUCGCAGAUCAGCAACGCUGCGGUGAAUACGUUCCCGGGGCU